AUUAGAUACCCUGGUAGUCCACGCAGUAAACGAUGAGCGCUAACUGUCCGGGCCAAGCGAGGCCUGGGUGGUACAGUGAAAACGUUAAGCGCUCCACCUGGGGAGUACGCCGGCAACGGUGAAACUCAAAGGAAUUGACGGGGGCCCGCACAAGCGGAGGAACAUGUGGUUUAAUUCGAUGAUACGCGAGGAACCUUACCCGGGCUCAAACGUAAGCGGAAUAACGGUGAAAGCCGUUAGCUAUUUAUAGCCGCUUACGAGGUGCUGCAUGGUUGUCGUCAGCUCGUGCCGUGAGGUGUCGGCUUAAGUGCCAUAACGAGCGCAACCCCCAUCGCCAGUUGCUAACAAGCAACGUUGAGGACUCUGGCGAGACUGCCGGCGCAAGCUGCGGGGAAGGCGGGGAUGACGUCAAAUCAGCACGGCCCUUACGUCCGGGGCGACACACGUGUUACAAUGGCAGGUACAGAGAGAAGCCAUCCCGCGAGGGAGAGCGGAACUUGAAAGCCUGUCUCAGUUCGGAUUGGAGUCUGCAACCCGACUCCAUGAAGCUGGGUUCGCUAGUAAUCGCGCAUCAGCCACGGCGCGGUGAAUACGUUCCCGGGCCUUGUACACACCGCCCGUCAAGCCAUGGGAGCCGGGGGUGCCUGAAGCGCGUGACCGCAAGGAGCGUUCUAAGGCAAAACCGGUGACUGGGGCUAAGUCGUAACAAGGUAAC
Molecule: ribosomal RNA, 715 nt
Filed under: uncultured bacterium
Lineage: Bacteria
Description: bacterial SSU rRNA
Rfam family: Bacterial small subunit ribosomal RNA
Source: RNAcentral